This 293-nucleotide ribosomal RNA is filed under the name Stenotrophomonas maltophilia. RNAcentral describes it as "partial 16S ribosomal RNA". It matches the Rfam family "Bacterial small subunit ribosomal RNA", at positions 98 to 394 of the family's 1533-position model. Lineage: Bacteria; Pseudomonadati; Pseudomonadota; Gammaproteobacteria; Lysobacterales; Lysobacteraceae. The record is from RNAcentral.
GCGGACGGGUGAGGAAUACAUAGGAAUCUACUUGGUAGUGGGGGAUAACGUUGGGAAACGUACGCUAAUACCGCAUACGUCCUACGGGAGAAAGCAGGGGACCUUCGGGCCUUGCGCGAUCGAAUGAGCCGAGGUCGGAUUAGCUAGUUGGCGGGGUAAAGGCUCACCAAGGCGACGAUCCGUAGCUGGUCUGAGAGGAUGAUCAGCCACACUGGAACUGAGACACGGUCCAGACUCCUACGGGAGGCAGCAGUGGGGAAUAUUGGACAAUGGGCGCAAGCCUGAUCCAGCCA